Molecule: long non-coding RNA, 1285 nt
Organism: Leopardus geoffroyi (Geoffroy's cat)
Lineage: Eukaryota; Metazoa; Chordata; Mammalia; Carnivora; Felidae
Exons: 3
Source: RefSeq, a predicted model, not a curated record
GAGAAAGCUGAGGAGACAGAACACGCGUGCAAGGACUCCGGGACCCGCGGUUCCCGGCCCGCGCUGCCGCUUUAAAUAGCCCUUGCAUCACGUGGUGAGGCGUGGCCCACACCCCCAGCUCCCGAAAUAGGAAGCCUCAGGCUGGCGCUCCACCGCCCGGAGCUGGCUGCCCAUCCCCCACGACCCGCCCGGCCGGGGGAGGGGGACAGCUAGUGGCUCCCGGCUCUCCUGCGUCAGCGCGGGGGCCCGGCCUCCGAGUCCCUGCCCCGCGCUGGCGGGACCUGCUCUCUUCCCAGGCCUCCAGGCGCUCGUCGCAAUCUGAGGAGGAAGCAUUGAGGGCACGGUGCCCGCGAGGUGGGGCGCGCGCUCCGGACAUCUUCGUCUCCCAGUGACUCCCCGAGCUUGGGGUUAGAGCAGAGAGCCUGCGGUGUGAUGGACACUUUACAAAGCGCUUUUAAUAGGAAGAUCCACCUUGUAUUGAUGUGUUUUUUUGCACGUCGCCGAGGGCUUUAAGUGCAUUUUCUCCUUGAACUUCCGGAGCAAAGUCCACCAAAUCCAGCUGUGGAUACAACAUCUGGCAGGCCGCAGGGCCAGUCCCUGCCAAGAGCGCAUCUCCGCAGCCCUCGCCCUAUGGUGAUGUCACUGUUCUGUGUCUCCACGGCAACCACAGGCUGGGAAGAUGGAGAAGAGGAGAGCCGAGUAACCAAGAGAGAGCCAAUGAGAUGGGCCAACUGCACCGGAUGAUCCGUGGGGCCAUGGGGCGGGGCUGGGGGGAGAGCAGGGGGCCUACUCAGCAUCUUGGGCUGCUUCCUGGACCCUCCCUGCCAUCUGGACGCCUCCGAUAGGGGAUGUGCCACUGGCACGGGGAGAAAUGCCGGAGGUAGAGGCCAAAGAAGCUGAGCUGGAGCCUCCACUGACCCAGGGACAUAGAGACCCCCCCAUAACCUCUUUGGGGCCUAAUCUGUGCAUGCUGACUGCCCCACUCCACCCCCAGGACCUGCUGCUGGAAUUUUUUUUUUUUUUAUGGUAAUGGUGGUGCAGCCCUCUGCCAUGGAAUCAAGUUCUUAACCCUUCUCUCCACACCCUCCAUAGCUUCCCCUGGUGCAUGAUGUAUUCAGAAGCGGCAUCUUUGGAAAGAAGCCUGGUUCUAAAUCCCAAGCCUGCAACUUACUAGUCAAGAGACUAGGAGCCAGUCCCUUCCCCUUCUGAGUCUCCUUUCCUCCCAAAUGGAGGAAGGGCCAUCUACUCCCAGGGUUGACAGGAGGAUUAAAAGAGAUAACAUAUG